RNAcentral lists this ribosomal RNA (408 nucleotides) under uncultured bacterium. RNAcentral's name for it is "bacterial SSU rRNA". It matches the Rfam family "Bacterial small subunit ribosomal RNA", at positions 930 to 1349 of the family's 1533-position model. The record is from RNAcentral.
UAGCGGAGCGUGUGGUUUAAUUCGGUGCAACACGAAGAACCUUACCAGGGCUUGACAUGUUGGAAGUAGUGAAACGAAAGUCGAACGAACUGUUAAAUCAGUAACCUUCACAGGUGCUGCAUGGCUGUCGUCAGCUCGUGCCGUGAGGUGUCGGGUUAAGUCCCAUAACGAGCGCAACCCCUGUUGCCAGUUAAUUUCUCUGGCGAGACUGCCCCGCAAAACGGGGAGGAAGGCGGGGAUGACGUCAAGUCAGUAUGGCCCUUAUGCCCUGGGCCACACACACGCUACAAUGGAUGGUACAGCAGGUUGCAAUGGAGCGAUCCGGAGCUAAUCCUUAAAACCAUCCUCAGUUCGGAUUGCAGGCUGAAAUUCGCCUGCAUGAAGUCGGAGUUGCUAGUAACCGCAUAA